RNAcentral lists this ribosomal RNA (1027 nucleotides) under uncultured bacterium. RNAcentral describes it as "bacterial SSU rRNA". It matches the Rfam family "Bacterial small subunit ribosomal RNA", at positions 338 to 1377 of the family's 1533-position model. The record is from RNAcentral.
CCUACGGGAGGCAGCAGUGGGGAAUAUUGCGCAAUGGGCGGAAGCCUGACGCAGCGACGCCGCGUGGGGGAUGACGGCCUUCGGGUUGUAAACCUCUUUCAGCAGGGACGAAGCCGGAAGGUGACGGUACCUGCAGAAGAAGCACCGGCCAACUACGUGCCAGCAGCCGCGGUAAUACGUAGGGUGCAAGCGUUGUCCGGAAUUAUUGGGCGUAAAGAGCUCGUAGGCGGUUUGUUGCGUCGGCUGUGAAAUCCCGAGGCUCAACCUCGGGUCUGCAGUCGAUACGAGCAAACUAGAGUGUCGCAGGGGAGACUGGAAUUCCUGGUGUAGCGGUGAAAUGCGCAGAUAUCAGGAGGAACACCGGUGGCGAAGGCGGGUCUCUGGGCAACAACUGACGCUGAGGAGCGAAAGCGUGGGGAGCGAACAGGAUUAGAUACCCUGGUAGUCCACGCCGUAAACGUUGGGCGCUAGGUGUGGGGCUCAUUCCACGAGUUCCGUGCCGCAGCUAACGCAUUAAGCGCCCCGCCUGGGGAGUACGGCCGCAAGGCUAAAACUCAAAGGAAUUGACGGGGGCCCGCACAAGCGGCGGAGCAUGUUGCUUAAUUCGAUGCAACGCGAAGAACCUUACCUAGGCUUGACAUGCACGGAAUCUCCCAGAGAUGGGGGGUCCGUAAGGGCCGUGCACAGGUGGUGCAUGGUUGUCGUCAGCUCGUGUCGUGAGAUGUUGGGUUAAGUCCCGCAACGAGCGCAACCCUCGUCCUAUGUUGCCAGCGGAUAAUGCCGGGGACUCAUAGGAGACUGCCGGGGUCAACUCGGAGGAAGGUGGGGGAUGACGUCAAAUCAUCAUGCCCCUUAUGUCUAGGGCUGCAAACAUGCUACAAUGGCCGGUACAAAGGGCUGCGAUACCGCGAGGUGGAGCGAAUCCCAAAAGCCGGUCUCAGUUCGGAUUGGGGUCUGCACUCGACCCCAUGAAGUGGAGUCGCUAGUAAUCGCAGAUCAGCACGCCGCGGGUGAAUACGUUUCCCGG